RNAcentral lists this ribosomal RNA (500 nucleotides) under uncultured bacterium. RNAcentral's name for it is "partial 16S ribosomal RNA". It matches the Rfam family "Bacterial small subunit ribosomal RNA", at positions 27 to 507 of the family's 1533-position model. The record is from RNAcentral.
GGACGAACGCUGGCGGCGUGCUUAACACAUGCAAGUCGAACGGGCCCGCUCUCUUUUUUGGGGGUGGGUUGAGUGGCGAACGGGUGAGUAUCACGUGAGUAACCUGCCCCCUGCUCCUGGAUAACUGCUUGAAAGGGCGGCUAAUACGGGGUGUGCCGGCUGGUCCGCAUGGGCCUGGUCGGGAUAGUUUCAUCUUCGGGUGUUUCGGUGGGGGAUGGGCUCGCGGCCUAUCAGCUUGGUGGUGGGGUGAUGGCCCACCAAGGCGGUGACGGGUAGCCGGCCUGAGAGGGUGGGCGGCCACACUGGGACUGAGACACGGCCCAGACUCCUGCGGGAGGCAGCAGUGGGGGGUAUUGCACAAUGGGCGGAAGCCUGAUGCAGCGACGUCGCGUGAGGGAUGGAGGCCUUCGGGUUGUGAACCUCUUUCUCCGGUGGUGAAGGCCCUGUCCGUUGCGGCGGGGUUGACGGUAGCCGGGGAUGAAGCGCCGGCUAACUACGUG